CUCGAAAUUAAAAGAGUUAAAUGUAAAUUAUUUUUUAUGUUGAAUAAUAAUUAUAAAUUUAUGUUUAGGGGUGAUAUGUUAUUCGAUUUUAAUAAUAUCUAGUUUUUUUUGAGAUGAAUUUAAUUCAUAUAUUUAAUUUAUUAAUAAAAUUAAUUUUUGUUUAUUGUUGAAUAUAAAAAAUUUGUGGGAUAAACUAUGAAUUUAAAUUACUAUUGUAUAAAUUGAAUUAAGGAUUUGUAGAUUUAAAAUUUGUUUUCAUUUGAGAUAAUUUAAUAAUUUAUUAUUUAUUACUUAAAAAUUUAUAAUUUUAAUGUAGAAGAGUAAAAUAAAUUAUAUAUGAAUUAAUUUUAUAUAGGUAUAAUGAUGAAAUUAGUAAUUUUAUUGGUAAAUAUGAAUUUUAUUUAUAUAUAAUUUAAAGGAAUUCGGCAAAUUAAAAGUGUUCACCUGUUUACCAAAAACAUGUCUUUUUGUUUAUAAUUUAAAGUCUGCUCUGCCCAAUGAAUUAUUUUAAAUGGCUGCAGUAUUUUGACUGUACAAAGGUAGCAUAAUAAUUAGUCUUUUUAUUGAAGGCUUGAAUGAACGAGUUGAUGAAAUAUUUACUGUCUCUAGAUUAUCUUAUUAAUUUAAAUUCUGAGUAAAAAUGCUUAGAUUUUUAUAUGGGACGAGAAGACCCUAUAGAAUUUUAUAUUUUUAUUAAGUUUAUUACUAAAAAAUAUUUUGUUGGGAGGAUAUUUAAAUUUAAUUAACUUUAAAAAUUUUAUCCAAUUAUUUUUGAUUAGGAGAAGAUAGUUUAUUAUAAAUUGUUAGAUUAAAUUACCUUAGGGAUAACAGCGUAAUAUCUUUGGAGAGAUCAUAUUUAUAAAGAUGAUUGCGACCUCGAUGUUGAAUUAAGGUAUAAUUUAAAUGCAGGAGUUUAAAUUUUAAGUCUGUUCGACUUUUAAUAUCUUACAUGAUUUGAGUUCAGAUCGGCGUGAGCCAGAUCGGUUUCUAUCUAUAUUAUUUGUAUAAACUUUUGUACGAAAGGACUUAGUUUA
This 1034-nucleotide ribosomal RNA is filed under the name Andrena minutula. Its description in RNAcentral is "16S ribosomal RNA". The stretch from base 824 to 982 matches the Rfam family "Archaeal large subunit ribosomal RNA", at positions 2542 to 2701 of the family's 2987-position model. The record is from RNAcentral. Lineage: Eukaryota; Metazoa; Arthropoda; Insecta; Hymenoptera; Andrenidae.